RNAcentral lists this non-coding RNA (191 nucleotides) under Moraxella caviae. Its description in RNAcentral is "6S / SsrS RNA". It matches the Rfam family "6S / SsrS RNA". Rfam says of the family: E. coli 6S RNA was the first non coding RNA to be sequenced, but its function was unknown until recently. It consists of 184 nucleotides that fold into an extended hairpin structure with a large single-stranded internal bulge. The record is from Rfam by way of RNAcentral. Lineage: Bacteria; Pseudomonadati; Pseudomonadota; Gammaproteobacteria; Moraxellales; Moraxellaceae.
CAAUCACUGAAGCAUUCGCCAGUAAAGUGCAUUCCUGAGCCGAUAAUCUUAUCUUAGGAUCACGCUUCUAUUAUUUUGUUGUGCAGGCCUGCAUCUCUUGAUGAAUCAGGAAGCCUAAUAAAUAAUGGCGUUGUCCGCCUUGAACUUCACGGUUCAUGGUAACCCCUUUGCAGCGGUGCUUUGGUGUAUUG